GCGAGAAAGGGGGCUUCGGUCCCUGAGUAGAGCGGCGCACGGGUGAGUAACGCGUGGAUAAUCUCCCUCAUUGUUUGGGAUAACGGCGGGAAACUGCCGCUAAUACCGGAUACGCUCCAAUUUCGGUUGGGGGAAAGGCGGCCUCUGCUUGCAAGCUGUCGCAAUGAGAUGAGUCCGCGUCCCAUUAGCUUGUUGGUGGGGUAAUGGCCCACCAAGGCAACGAUGGGUAGCUGGUCUGAGAGGAUGAUCAGCCACACUGGAACUGAAACACGGUCCAGACUCCUACGGGAGGCAGCAGUGGGGAAUAUUGCGCAAUGGGGGAAACCCUGACGCAGCGACGCCGUGUGAGGGAAGAAGGCUUUCGGGUCGUAAACCUCUGUCGGGAAGGAAGAACCUCUCAAGGCUGAACAAGCCUUGGGACUGACGGUACUUCCAAAGGAAGCACCGGCUAACUCCGUGCCAGCAGCCGCGGUAAUACGGAGGGUGCAAGCGUUAAUCGGAAUCACUGGGCGUAAAGCGCGCGUAGGCCGUCUUUUAAGUCGGACGUGAAAGCCCUCGGCUCAACCGGGGAACUGCGUUCGAAACUGGGAGACUUGAGUCCUGGAGAGGGUGGCGGAAUUCCGGGUG
RNAcentral lists this ribosomal RNA (627 nucleotides) under uncultured Desulfovibrio sp. Its description in RNAcentral is "bacterial SSU rRNA". It matches the Rfam family "Bacterial small subunit ribosomal RNA", at positions 66 to 675 of the family's 1533-position model. The record is from RNAcentral. Lineage: Bacteria; Pseudomonadati; Thermodesulfobacteriota; Desulfovibrionia; Desulfovibrionales; Desulfovibrionaceae.